GAUGAACGCUGGCGGCGUGCCUAAUACAUGCAAGUCGAGCGAACGGACGAGGAGCUUGCUUCUCUGAUGUUAGCGGCGGACGGGUGAGUAACACGUGGAUAACCUACCUAUAAGACUGGGAUAACGUCGGGAAACCGUAUCUAAUACCGGAUAAUAGUUUGAACCGCAGGGUUCAAAAGUGAAAGACGGUCUUGCUGACACUUAUAGAUGGAUCCGCGCUGCAUUAGCUAGUUGGUAAGGUAACGGCUUACCAAGGCAACGAUGCAUAGCCGACCUGAGAGGGUGAUCGGCCACACUGGAACUGAGACACGGUCCAGACUCCUACGGGAGGCAGCAGUAGGGAAUCUUCCGCAAUGGGCGAAAGCCUGACGGAGCAACGCCGCGUGAGCGAUGAAGGUCUUCGGAUCGUAAAACUCUGUUAUUAGGGAAGAACAUAUGUGUAAGUAACUGUGCACAUCUUGACGGUACCUAAUCAGAAAGCCACGGCUAACUACGUG
This 497-nucleotide ribosomal RNA is filed under the name uncultured bacterium. Its description in RNAcentral is "partial 16S ribosomal RNA". It matches the Rfam family "Bacterial small subunit ribosomal RNA", at positions 28 to 507 of the family's 1533-position model. The record is from RNAcentral.